CAAUAGCGUAUAUUAAAGUUGUUGCAGUUAAAAAGCUCGUAGUUGAAUUUUUGCUUGCCGCCGAUGUCGGAACUUCCGUACGUUCGGCGGCGUGCAUCCUUGGGUGGAACCUGUGUGGCAUUAGGUUGUCGUGCAGGGGAUGCUCAUCGUUUACUGUGAAAAAAUUAGAGUGUUCAAAGCAGGCUUACGCCGUUGAAUAUAUUAGCAUGGAAUAAUAAGAUAGGACCUUGGUACUAUUUUGUUGGUUUGCGCACCGAGGUGAUGAUUAACAGGGACAGUUGGGGGUAUUCGUAUUCCAUUGUCAGAGGUGAAAUUCUUGGAUUUCUGGAAGACGAACUACUGCGAAAGCAUUUACCAAGGAUGUUUUCAUUAA
This 373-nucleotide ribosomal RNA is filed under the name uncultured eukaryote. RNAcentral's name for it is "partial 18S ribosomal RNA". It matches the Rfam family "Eukaryotic small subunit ribosomal RNA", at positions 592 to 976 of the family's 1831-position model. The record is from RNAcentral.